GGUGUUUACUGUCGAACUGAACACUCUACCGUUUACUGUCUGGUGGUGCUCUUCACCGAGUGUCACCAGUGGUCGGUACGUUUACUUUGAAAAAAUUAGAGUGCUCAAAGCGGUUUUUACACGACCGAAUACUGUUGCAUGGAAUAAUGAAAUAGGACUUUGGUUCUAUUUUGUUGGUCUUCGGAACCAAGGUAAUGAUUAAGAGGGACAGACGGGGGCAUUAGUAUUGCGACGCUAGAGGUGAAAUUCUUGGACCGUCGCAAGACUAACUAAAGCGAAAGCAUUUGCCAAGAAUGUUUUCAUUAAUCAAGAACGAAAGUUAGAGGUUCGAAGGCGAUCAGAUACCGCCCUAGUUCUAACCAUAAACGAUGCCAACCAGCAAUCAGCCUGUGUUCUCUUGAUGACACGGCUGGCGGCUUCCGGGAAACCAAAGUCUUUCGGUUCCAGGGGAAGUAUGGUUGCAAAGCUGAAACUUAAAGGAAUUGACGGAAGGGCACCACCAGGAGUGGAGCCUGCGGCUUAAUUUGACUCAACACGGGGAAACUCACCCGGCCCGGACACUGUGAGGAUUGACAGGGUUGAAGCCCUUUCUUGAUUCAGUGGGUGGUGGUGCAUGGCCCGUUCUUAGUUGGUGGAGUGAUUUGUCUGGUUAAUUCCGAUAACGAACGAGACUCUAGCCUACUAAUUAGACCGUGGCGUCCUCGUGCCGCCACGGCGCUUCCUAGAGGGACAGACGG
RNAcentral lists this ribosomal RNA (737 nucleotides) under uncultured eukaryote. RNAcentral's name for it is "SSU rRNA". It matches the Rfam family "Eukaryotic small subunit ribosomal RNA", at positions 671 to 1426 of the family's 1831-position model. The record is from RNAcentral.